Molecule: ribosomal RNA, 395 nt
Filed under: uncultured bacterium
Lineage: Bacteria
Description: bacterial SSU rRNA
Rfam family: Bacterial small subunit ribosomal RNA
Source: RNAcentral
AUUGAACGCUGGCGGAAUGCUUUACACAUGCAAGUCGAACGGCAGCACGGGGCAACCUGGUGGCGAGUGGCGAACGGGUGAGUAAUACAUCGGAACGUGCCCAAUCGUGGGGGAUAACGUAGCGAAAGUUACGCUAAUACCGCAUACGAUCUACGGAUGAAAGCGGGGGAUCGCAAGACCUCGCGCGAAUGGAGCGGCCGAUGUCAGAUUAGGUAGUUGGUGGGGUAAAGGCUCACCAAGCCAACGAUCUGUAGCUGGUCUGAGAGGACGACCAGCCACACUGGAACUGAGACAUGGUCCAGACUCCUACGGGAGGCAGCAGUGGGGAAUUUUGGACAAUGGGCGCAAGCCUGAUCCAGCCAUUCCGCGUGCAGGAUGAAGGCCUCGGUUGUAAC